GGGGAUGUAGCUCAGGGGUAGAGCAUAUGCUUGGCAUGUACAAGGCCCUGGGUUUAAUCCCCAGCACCAUUU
RNAcentral lists this transfer RNA (72 nucleotides) under Marmota marmota marmota (Alpine marmot). It matches the Rfam family "tRNA". Rfam says of the family: Transfer RNA (tRNA) molecules are approximately 80 nucleotides in length. Their secondary structure includes four short double-helical elements and three loops (D, anti-codon, and T loops). The record is from Rfam by way of RNAcentral. Lineage: Eukaryota; Metazoa; Chordata; Mammalia; Rodentia; Sciuridae. RNAcentral also lists the same sequence under 1 other name.